GGCUUGGUAAACUAUGAUGAAAUAAAAAAUUGAACUAAGCCUGUAAUAAAAGAAUGUGGCCAUAUGCGUCACCCAAGAUGCGUGCUAAUGCCAGGUGUGAACAGAGCCACUGUGUGACUACACAAUCAGCUUAGCAGAAUGGUUUCUGAGAGAGAUAUUGUUGUCAUUAAUUGUUUUUUUUCUUUUUCAAGAAGCCAAGUUCCUGGCUUCUCCCAAGACAUUCAAGCACCCAAAUGACCUCGGAAUCAGCUGAAAAGGAGGAUGAAAGUCUAAGAAUGUCUAAGAAUGGGACAGCGAUAUUGCAUCAAUUGGUCUCCUACUUCAUUUGAUUCCACCAUCACCACAAGGCUGCAAGGGAUCCUAUCAAGCUGAAAAACAUCUUCAAAAAGGCACCAACAAGAAGAACAGCUUGAUUGCAAAGAAGAGACCACACAACCAUACCUGCUCACUGAUGGGACAACGAGGAACAUCAUUCAUGGAUGCUACACAACUGUCAAAUCUUGUCAUAUUUGUUCAUGUCUAGAUAAAUUUGAUGAUUUUGUGUUUUAUUAACUAUUUUAUGUUUCUGUGCAAUACUUAAUGAAUGUGACUGACUAAUUAACCUCUACACAUCUAAUAUAUGCUUCAAAGUUGCCACUUUGCCC
Sinocyclocheilus grahami is the source of this 644-nucleotide long non-coding RNA. RefSeq lists it as uncharacterized. NCBI's taxonomy places the organism in Eukaryota, Metazoa, Chordata, Actinopteri, Cypriniformes, Cyprinidae. The record is from RefSeq and is a predicted model, not a curated record. The transcript has 3 exons.